UCACAGACUGUAAAUGGUUAUAGUUUCAGUUUCUUUUCUUAGCUGAGAAAUUCUUUUUCUCUUUUCCUUAGCUGUCGCAAUAAAUCACACCUGGGUGACCUAUAAUAAAUAUUUAUUAUUUAUAUUAUUUAUAAAUAUUUUUUCUGACUUCUGAAUUCUUCUUCUUUUAGAUGUUAAGGAUUUUGCUGUUGUUAUUGAUUCUAGGCAAGCUCGGAGUCUAUAUUUGUGGUCAGAGCAUACCUUUUUCACCUAGGUUGUGUUUCUUUUCCAGGGUUUUGCUUGAGGAAUUUUAAAAAGAAACAUUUUACUCAGCUGAUGAGUGGCCUGUUCAAACUUAGUUUUUCAUUAGUGCGUUAUGUUUUUAUUUCCCGUUGAAUGUUGCAACUGGAGUUACAUGGAAGUUCAUCCAAGAUUCUAUCUGUCUUCUACUGGACGAUUAAGCUCCUAAUAAACUCAGGUUUCUUCAGCCAAAGAAGCCCUGACCAUCACAUACGGGUCAAGAGUCUUUCCAAACCUAGUGACCUCAGAUAG
Molecule: long non-coding RNA, 531 nt
Filed under: Struthio camelus australis
Lineage: Eukaryota; Metazoa; Chordata; Aves; Struthioniformes; Struthionidae
Description: lncRNA (ENSSCUG00000002072.1)
Source: RNAcentral